GAUGAGAAGCUUCGACCAAGGUUCGAUUCGAGCGCAGCGAGAAAGCGUUGCCGCAGGCAACGACCCGAAGGGCGAAGCGCGCAGCGCUGAGUCAUC
This 96-nucleotide small RNA is filed under the name Salmonella enterica subsp. enterica serovar Typhimurium. RNAcentral describes it as "RtT RNA". It matches the Rfam family "RtT RNA", at positions 21 to 115 of the family's 130-position model. Rfam says of the family: This family represents a bacterial cis-regulatory element known as RtT RNA. The record is from RNAcentral. Lineage: Bacteria; Pseudomonadati; Pseudomonadota; Gammaproteobacteria; Enterobacterales; Enterobacteriaceae.